This 67-nucleotide small nucleolar RNA is filed under the name Hippocampus comes (tiger tail seahorse). RNAcentral's name for it is "Small nucleolar RNA SNORD58 (ENSHCOG00000013088.1)". It matches the Rfam family "Small nucleolar RNA SNORD58". From Rfam's summary of the family: snoRNA U58 is found in introns 1, 3 and 6 of the ribosomal protein RPL17 gene in humans. U58 is a member of the C/D class of snoRNA which contain C (UGAUGA) and D (CUGA) box motifs. Lineage: Eukaryota; Metazoa; Chordata; Actinopteri; Syngnathiformes; Syngnathidae. The record is from RNAcentral.
UUGCUGUGAUGACUACUUAGGACACCUUUGGAUUAACCAAUGAAAACACUCGAAAGCUCUGAGCAAC